Molecule: ribosomal RNA, 200 nt
Filed under: uncultured bacterium
Lineage: Bacteria
Description: partial 16S ribosomal RNA
Rfam family: Bacterial small subunit ribosomal RNA
Source: RNAcentral
AACGAACGCUGGCGGCAUGCCUAACACAUGCAAGUCGAACGAGACCUUCGGGUCUAGUGGCGCACGGGUGCGUAACGCGUGGGAAUCUGCCCUUGGGUACGGAAUAACACAGAGAAAUUUGUGCUAAUACCGUAUAAUGUCUUCGGACCAAAGAUUUAUCGCCCAAGGAUGAGCCCGCGUAAGAUUAGCUUGUUGGUGAG